RNAcentral lists this long non-coding RNA (199 nucleotides) under Elaeis guineensis (African oil palm). RNAcentral describes it as "long non-coding RNA (EGUI_LNC029440)". The record is from RNAcentral. Lineage: Eukaryota; Viridiplantae; Streptophyta; Magnoliopsida; Arecales; Arecaceae.
GUCUGUGAAAAAUAAGUAAUGAAUCAUCUUCUCGAGAUAUUUCAUAUUUAUUUGAAAGUAAAUAAUUAUUCUUUGAAAUUAUAUAUGAUUUAUGAAAUUAUGUUUUGGAUGAAAAGUGAUUCUGAAAUACUAUAGUUUAUUGAUUAUGCAUAUAUUAAAUGAAAAUGAUAAUAUGUUAUUAUACAAAAGUACUUUGAUA